Musa acuminata subsp. malaccensis (wild Malaysian banana) is the source of this 1410-nucleotide non-coding RNA. NCBI's taxonomy places the organism in Eukaryota, Viridiplantae, Streptophyta, Magnoliopsida, Zingiberales, Musaceae. The record is from RefSeq and is a predicted model, not a curated record.
AGAGAGAGAGAGAGAGACAGAGACAGAGAGAUGACGCUUGUGUGCGUGCCGCUGGUGGCGGAGAUGGCCGCCGCCAGGGCUCGCGGCGCCGACCUCGUCGAGAUCCGCCUUGACCACCUCGCCGUCGUCCAUCCCCGGCGGGAUCUUGAGCUCCUCCUCAAGAACCGACCUAUUCCCGCCCUCGUCUUUUGAUCAACAAGAAUGCCUAAAACUCUACUAAGCUGAACUCUGCUGUACUCCACGCAACUUGUAUUGCUUUGAUUGUCUUUUAUAUUUCUUCUUCUUCUUUUUUCCUUUGGUUUAUCGAAAUAUAAUCCGUUUUUCGUUUUUGUUGAUGGAAAUUGGAGUGGUUGGGGAAUAAAUUACGGGACCUUUUUUGCAUAUUUAAAUUUUACGAGGGAAGCAGCUUAAACCAGCUCAAGGAGGAUGCAACAGGAAGCAUUGACCUAAGAUAGUUCACUCCCUCGCCUGUCUAGUACGCUUUAGUUUCAGUUAAAUAGAUCAACAACAAAGGCUACAUAAUCACAUCCAAUUUUCAAUAUACUUCGACUAUUGCAUCAACCUUCAUCUAUACCUGUCAUGUAUCCAAAUGCCAGAUAUCCAUCGGCCAAAGUGGGAAGGAGGGGAAUAUGAAGGUGAUGAUAGCCGGCGGUUCAACGCACUGUGCUUAGCUAUGGAAUUACGAGCUGAAUACAUUGAUAUCGAGCUUAAGGUUGCUGGUGAUUUUGUUAGAUUCAUAUCAGGAAAAAGGCCAGAGACCUUUAAGCUUAUUGUAUCUUCGCAUAACUAUCAAAGCACACCAUCAAGGGACGUGCUUGGCAGCCUUGUAGCAGGAAUACAAGCUGUUGGGGCUGACAUAGUAAAGAUUGCAACAACUGCUUUGGAUAUUGUUGAUGUAACACACAUGUUCCAAAUAAUUGUGCAUUGCCAAGGAAGGAAUCAGCUGCUGGACAGCCGACUAUCUCUGACUUGUUGAAUGUGUAUAAUAUCAAACAGAUAGGCCCUGAUAUGAAGGUCUUUGGAAUUAUUGGCAAACCUGUGGGCCACAGCAAGAGCCCAAUUUUGCACAAUGGGGCUUUUAGAUCAGUUGGUUUGAAUGCAGUUUAUGUACCACUUUUGGUGGAUGACCUUGCAAAUUUUCUCACUGCCUACUCAUCCCUGGAUUUUGCUGGUUUCAGGUUCUCUGGGGCUGCUUGCAGAGGGAGAGGUAAAAGCAGAAUGUGUUAUUGUAAGACCCCACAGUAUUACCAUCCAUGCAAAAGCUUUAAGACUUGUGAAUAGAAAGAAGUAAGAGGCAACAAACUACCUGCAAGACUGAGAGAUAUCAAAAGAGAAAAAAAUGUGCCAAAAUUUGACUCUGUUGCUUGUUAAUUUUGACUAAACUUCUCUCUCUCUCUCUCUCUCUCUCUC